This 245-nucleotide ribosomal RNA is filed under the name uncultured bacterium. RNAcentral's name for it is "partial 16S ribosomal RNA". It matches the Rfam family "Bacterial small subunit ribosomal RNA", at positions 57 to 305 of the family's 1533-position model. The record is from RNAcentral.
GCAAGUCGAGCGGUAAGCUAACUUCGGUUAGCCUAGAGCGGCGGACGGGUGAGUAACACGUGGAUAAUCUACCUGGUAGUGGGGGACAACAUGGUGAAAACCAUGCUAAUACCGCAUACGCCCUACAGGGGAAAGCGGGGGACCUUCGGGCCUCGUGCUAUCGGAUGAGCCUGCGUUGGAUUAGCUUGUUGGUGAGGUAAAAGCUCACCAAGGCGACGAUCCAUAGCUGGUCUGAGAGGAUGAUC